GACGAACGCUGGCGGCGUGCCUAAUACAUGCAAGUAGAACGCUGAAGGAGGAGCUUGCUUCUCUGGAUGAGUUGCGAACGGGUGAGUAACGCGUAGGUAACCUGCCUGGUAGCGUGGGAUAACUAUUGGAAACGAUAGCUAAUACCGCAUAAUAGUAGAUGUUGCAUUACAUUUACUUAAAAGGUGCAUUUGCAUCACUACCAGAUGGACCUGCGUUGUAUUAGCUAGUUGGUGGGGUAACGGCUCACCAAGUCGACGAUACAUAGCCGACCUGAGAGGGUGAUCGGCCACACUGGGAAUGAGACACGGCCCAGACUGCUACGGGAGGCAGCAGUAGGGAAUCUUCGGAAAUGGACGAAAGGCGGACCGAGCAACGCCGCGUGAGUGAAGAAGGUUAUCGGAGCGUAAAGCUCUGUUGUAAGAGAAGAACGAGGGUGAGAGGGGAAAGUUCACACUGUGACGGUAUCUUACCAGAAAGGGACGGCUAACUACGUG
RNAcentral lists this ribosomal RNA (495 nucleotides) under uncultured bacterium. Its description in RNAcentral is "partial 16S ribosomal RNA". It matches the Rfam family "Bacterial small subunit ribosomal RNA", at positions 28 to 507 of the family's 1533-position model. The record is from RNAcentral.